This 385-nucleotide unclassified non-coding RNA is filed under the name uncultured Phycisphaerae bacterium. RNAcentral's name for it is "contains 16S-23S intergenic spacer region". The record is from RNAcentral. Lineage: Bacteria; Pseudomonadati; Planctomycetota; Phycisphaerae.
UCCGAUUUGACAUCGGCGGUCUCGCUAGAGUCCCCGGCAUUACCCGUUGGCAACUAACGAUAGGGGUUUCGCUCGUUGAGGGACUUAACCCGACACUUCACAGCACGAGCUGACGACAGCCAUGCAGCACCUGUGCUGGUUUCACCCGAAGGCAGCCUACUCCUGUUUCCAAGAGAGCAUCCCAGCAUGUCAAACCCAGGUAAGGUUCUUCGCGUUGCUUCGAAUUAAUCCACAUGCUCCACCGCUUGUGUGAGCCCCCGUCAAUUCCUUUGAGUUUUAGCCUUGCGGCCGUACUCCCCAGGCGGCGCACUUAUCGGUUUUCUUCCGGCACGAUCGGCGUCAGAGCCUCUCAUACCUAGUGCGCAUCGUUUACGGCGUGGACUAC